AUGGGGUGUGGUUUCUAACAAUUAAAUUUUGUGAGUUAAAAGUAUGUGGUUUUUAUGAGUUACUAAGGUGUAAUUUGUUAUUUUUAUUUUUUGUGAGUUAUCGGGGAGUAAUUUGUUACUAGUAUUAGCAAGAUGGCACAGUCGGUGUCGUGUAACGUAAAAAAACAAGGUCAAGAACGACCACUGUAUAAAUUAGUGGAUAUGAAAGGUGGAGGAGAACUGAUAGAAUUAAUGAAACUGGCUUCAUGCAAUCACGAUUAUUAUACGUUAGACAACGAAAUAAAAAAAAUAUGGAAAUAUCUGUACGCUGAUGGAGAUGGACUAUUUGUAGAUAUAUCCGAAGUAAUCGAAUACAGGAAAUCCCAGAGUAAAAAUCUACCACAAGAAGAGAAAUUUCCUGCAAACAAAAAAACAACACGACCCGAUUCGGGUAAACAACGUGAAUUGUGUUGGAAAUUGGACGAACGUGGUACGGUAGGCGAGACGAUCCUUCACCUGUGUUUCUUGAACCCAACCCAGACUCACAGAGAACUGGCCAAACGUUUAAUGGACAUUUACCCCAAUCUGGUGAAAGAUAUCUACAAUGGUGACGAAUACUACGGCGAGAAUGUACUUCACAUGGCGAUUGCAAAUGAGGAUAGUGAAAUGGUGAAGUUUGUUUUAGAUAAAGGGGCUGAUUGUCGAGCCAGAGCCUGUGGACGAUUCUUCUUUCCUGAAGAUCAGAAAAAAUCCCGAACUGAUGAUCCACCUAAUGAAUUGAUCAAGGUCUCGACAAAAACAAACUAUAAGGGCAACGCGUACUUCGGAGAAUAUCCUCUCAGUUUUGCUGUAAGUUUACAUAAACCAUGUUCAGAUUCAGACAAAUCAAGUUCAGGUUCCGACAAUCAAGAUUAUAUUUCAUGGAUUCUAGAGAAAGAUAAAGAAAGAAAGAGGCCGAACCAUCUACCGCUGACUCGCUUACAAGAUUCUAAUGGUAAUACGGUAUUACAUAUGGCCGUUAUACACGAUAAAAAGGAAUUGCUUCAACGUUUAAAGAAUGAAGGUGCAGAUCUGAGCAUAAAAAAACAAUCAAGGAUUAACACCGUUAACACUGUCAGCAAAACUGGCCAGAAAGGCGGUGGGAUAAUUAUCAAUUCUUCUGACAAGAAACGUACCAGUAAAAGGGUUAUUUUUGUUUGCUUGCUCGAUGGUGGUCGUUGUGUUGUUACCACUACGGUUUUCCUGCCAACCUCUUGUCGAAGAUUGUGCCGCAGUUUUUGUUAUUCUCCUGACCACCCCAUAUUUUCUCUUCCUCUGUCAAGGGUUCAAAUUAAUGGGUCCGUAUGUCGUUAUGAUUUAUAAAAUGAUAAGGAGGGAUUUACUACGUUUUGUGAUAAUUUACGGCAUUUUUGUGAUUGGUUUCUCACAAGCCAUGUUUUUGGUAUUUAGACGUACCCAUACUGACAAUCAGUUCCGGACAUUCCUGGAAGCCCACAUGGGUAUGUUCAUCAUGUCUGUAGGAAAGUUUGAAGAUAUUUACGAAACUUUUCAAGAUUCGAAACAUGAAGCCAUUGGAAAGACAGUGUUUGUGGUUUAUAUGUUAUUGGUGACUCUGUUAUUAAUCAAUAUGUUAAUUGCUAUGAUGGCCAAUACGUAUGAUGAGAUAGCUAGUACCAAGAAAGAAUGGUUUAGACAGUGGGCAAGGAUGGUUUUAAUUAUGGAAGAAAAUUUGGGCAAUGCAUCACGGUUAAAGUAUCAGAAAUCAUAUUCUCAACAAAUGAACGAGUCUCGACUCGUCUUUGUAGAUCGAUGUCGACAGAGUUCAAAAUCAUAAUGGUAUGAUCGUUGGGAUACAGUCAACUAGUGAAUAUUAUUGACAUUAUCAUUUGGCUACAUGUCGUGUCCAAGGCACAGUAUACUACAACUACAACGUUUCAUUAUUUUAGGAUUUAGUGACAAAUACUGCCUAAAACAGAGUUUUUUUGGUAUGGCCAAUUUCUUCACUCUACUAGAAUUUUGCUGGAACAGAGCUGUGUUGACGGGCCUUGUACCCUGAAUACACUCUACUCUAGGGUCUUGUUUAAUAAAGGGAGCUGUGAACGUUAAUUCACACUCAACUCCCAUGUCUGGAUCCCCAUGUGAUAUUAGGGACACUAGAAUUGACUUUUAUUGUGACGUGUGGUGGCUUUAAUCUCUGUAUAUGUACUAUGUAUAUGUUUAUUCUAGUGUGGGGGCGUUAACCUCUAUAUAUGAACAUAGGCGUAUGAGCUGGGGGGCUGGGGGGCGACCGCCCCCCCAUUUUGGGCACCAAAUGCUGGAAAAAUUUGGGCACACAAUUGUACUUUGUAAAAGUUGUAUAAAAUAAUAUUGAGUUCUUGAAUGUGUCCAAUUUAACAGCGAAUUUGUUAUUAUUAUGUAACAUACUAAGAACCUAACUACAUUUUUUGGGCACCAACCACCACCGCCCCCCCCCCCCCCCAGUCAAAAAUUUACCCGUACGCCUAUGUAUAUGAACAUGUACUAUGCAUAUUUAUAUGUUUAUUCUAGCGUGGGGAUAUGAACUAUGUAUGUGUAUAUAUGUUUAUUCUAGUGUGGGGGCGUUAACCCCUGUAUAUGUACUAUGUAUAUCUAUAUGUAUAUUCUAGUGUGAGAGUUUUAAUCUCUUAUGUGUGUCUAUAUGUUUAUUCUAGUGUAUAUUGUGGUUUUAAUUUUAACAAUUAUUUGUUUACCAUUGUUUAAAAUUGUUCACCCCGGGCUCAAAAGUAUCCAGUAAUCAAACUGAUUAUCUAUAGGCUUACUUACCAUUCUGAACCACUGAACCAGACUGGAACCCACAUCAUCCAUCAAUUUAUUCUUCACAUUUAUCACCUUUUAAUGUCAACUCCAAAAGAAUCUGGGGGCAGGGGAUUUCGCCCAGGCAGUCAGACAUUUUUUAAGAUGAAUCUACUCAAGCUUCUUUAUGAAAAUCGGGGUGCUGGAUGGCUGAAUGGUUAUUACGUGUGCGCCGUAUAAGAUCAGACAUUGAGUCAUCUGGCGUGGUUUCGAUUCCCCGGUUGUAUGUGACAAGGAGUAGGGUCGCUUGUCCAACCUCGUGGGUUUUCUCUGGGUCCUGCGGUUUCCUCCCACUGCUAAAGUCCCCUACUAGCA
This is an RNA transcript of Patella vulgata (common limpet), 3126 nucleotides long. RefSeq lists it as uncharacterized. NCBI's taxonomy places the organism in Eukaryota, Metazoa, Mollusca, Gastropoda, Patellidae. The transcript has 10 exons. The record is from RefSeq and is a predicted model, not a curated record.